Molecule: long non-coding RNA, 1264 nt
Organism: Gambusia affinis (western mosquitofish)
Lineage: Eukaryota; Metazoa; Chordata; Actinopteri; Cyprinodontiformes; Poeciliidae
Exons: 3
Source: RefSeq, a predicted model, not a curated record
UACAAUUUAUACAUCUUGUCAUCAAAUGACUCAUAUUUGUGUGGAAGUUCUCCCCCCCUCUAUUUCUUCACUAUCACCUCAAGCUUGUAAUCAUGGCUAUUGCUUACGCAUCUUUACGCAACAUGGCCACAACUUCCCAUUUCUGCUCAAAAUACCUUUUUGAAACUGGUUGCAUGCUAUGUUAACAUUUUCCAAGAAACUACUUUUGAGGUUUUUGUUUUCACAUUGUCAUGGGAUUUAAACCAUGACAAUAAAAUAGACUUCCUUUAUAAUUUUUUUAAUUCAACAAUUGAGUUUGUGCUAAUGCUGGAGUCAUGACAUUUUCCAGAAGUUAAUGAUUUGGAUCAGGUUCAAAAACCGCCACUUUCUGAAUAUGAAAGUUGUACUUCAUUAGUCCCAAUGGAUAAUUUAUUUGUAGCUUUUCAGUCCUGCGAUUACCAUUUGGUUGUGGGCUGAAAUUGUAACUUUUAAAACUUUUUUCUUGAAAUUACAUAUUCGGUAGCAGAGCUAAUGUGAGCGAUCUAAAUCCAGCCACUAUGCUAUAUUUUACACUAUUAAACAAAAAUGACUUUCUAGCACAGCACAAAAUAGUAAAUUACACAUCAAACCACUCUUCUUCAUAAUUUAUAAUAUGCAUUUCAUGAUAUCUUAAAAAAAUGUAAAUAAAUAAAUAAAUGUAAAAAUGAAUUCAAUCUAUUUAGGACUAGGGCUCAACCUGAUUUACAGAAGUAACCUUUGGGACCAAUAAUGCAAAGUGAGUUUUCUGGUGAGAUUCUGUAGGAUUUAAAGAAUCUUAGGCUUGAAUUAUUUCACUCCAUGUAUGAUAUUCAUGUAGAGUGAAAAAUGUUUCAAAUUCAUUCAAAAACUACUGUAUACAACUCCAAAUAUAAAUUUUAUAGGAAUCCUGAAAAACAUUUAAUUAUCAGUUAGACACAGUAAAUGCAACAAGCUGAAUAUUGUUUAUAAAUAUUAAUAAGUAUAUUGACAUUAAGAUUGUAUCUUUUUAUUUUUCUGUUUAGUUAUACAUGGUUUGUCCCAAUAAAAUGGAUGAAAAAUGGAGUGGAUCAGCAACAAUAUUGGCUUCUGAAUAAAACAGACACCCAUGCUCAGAUGAGAGUUUCUGGACAGGAAUGGGUACUAGCAAACACAAAUGUGUCUGGCUACUUCAGGAUUAACUAUGAUGCUGACAACUGGGAUCGUCUCCUCUCUCAGCUUGGCACCAGUCACCAGGCUUUAUCUCUCAUGAACCGAGCUCAGAUCAUCG